CUAAGACCGCAUAGGUGUAGAGAUCGCAUGAACUCUAUAUGAAAAGUGCUACGGGACUGGUAGAUGAUGGACUUAUGGCGCAUUAGCUUGUUGGUAGGGUAACGGCCUACCAAGGCGACGAUGCGUAGCCGACCUGAGAGGGUGACCGGCCACACUGGGACUGAGACACGGCCCAGACUCCUACGGGAGGCAGCAGUAGGGAAUUUUCGGCAAUGGGGGAAACCCUGACCGAGCAACGCCGCGUGAAGGAAGAAGUAAUUCGUUAUGUAAACUUCUGUCAUAGAGGAAGAACGGUGGAUAUAGGGAAUGAUAUCCAAGUGACGGUACUCUAUAAGAAAGCCACGGCUAACUACGUGCCAGCAGCCGCGGUAAUACGUAGGUGGCGAGCGUUAUCCGGAAUUAUUGGGCGUAAAGAGGGAGCAGGCGGCACUAAGGGUCUGUGGUGAAAGAUCGAAGCUUAACUUCGGUAAGCCAUGGAAACCGUAGAGCUAGAGUGUGUGAGAGGAUCGUGGAAUUCCAUGUGUAGCGGUGAAAUGCGUAGAUAUAUGGAGGAACACCAGUGGCGAAGGCGACGAUCUGGCGCAUAACUGACGCUCAGUCCCGAAAGCGUGGGGAGCAAAUAGGAUUAGAUACCCUAGUAGUCCACGCCGUAACCGAAAAGGGCUAAGUGUUGGGGGUCAAAGCUCAGUGCUGC
Molecule: ribosomal RNA, 694 nt
Filed under: uncultured bacterium
Lineage: Bacteria
Description: bacterial SSU rRNA
Rfam family: Bacterial small subunit ribosomal RNA
Source: RNAcentral